AGGGCAAGUCGGUGCCAGCAGCCGCGGUAAUUCCAGCUCCAAUAGCGUAUAUUAAAGUUGUUGCAGUUAAAAAGCUCGUAGUUGAAUUUCGAGACCGGUCUACUGGUCGUGCUUUUGUACGUACUGGUUUUAUUGGUUUCUCCUUUCUGACGAACUAUAAUGCCAUUAAUUUGGUGUUAUAGGGAAUCAGGACUGUUACUUUGAAAAAUUAGAGUGUUUAAAGCAGGCUCACGCUUGAAUACAUUAGCAUGGAAUAACGGAAUAGGACGUUUGAUUUUAUUUUAGUUGGUUUCUAGGGAUCGACGUAAUGAUUAAUAGGGAUAGUUGGGGGGCAUUAGUAUUCAAUUGUCAGAGGUGAAAUUCUUGGAUUUAUUGAAGGCUAACUACUGCGAAAGCAUUUGCCAAGGAUGUUUUCAUUAAUCAAGAACGAAAGUUAGGGGAUCGAAGACGAUCAGAUACCGUCGUAGUCUUAACCAUAAACUAUGCCGACUAGGGAUCGGAUGAUGUUAAUUUUUUAAUGACUCAUUCGGCGCCUUACG
RNAcentral lists this ribosomal RNA (539 nucleotides) under uncultured Glomus. RNAcentral describes it as "SSU rRNA". It matches the Rfam family "Eukaryotic small subunit ribosomal RNA", at positions 552 to 1092 of the family's 1831-position model. The record is from RNAcentral. Lineage: Eukaryota; Fungi; Glomeromycota; Glomeromycetes; Glomerales; Glomeraceae.